This 443-nucleotide ribosomal RNA is filed under the name uncultured bacterium. RNAcentral's name for it is "partial 16S ribosomal RNA". It matches the Rfam family "Bacterial small subunit ribosomal RNA", at positions 338 to 795 of the family's 1533-position model. The record is from RNAcentral.
CCUACGGGGGGCUGCAGUGGGGGAUAUUGGACAAUGGGGGGAACCCUGAUCCAGCGACGCCGCGUGAGUGAAGAAGUAUUUCGGUAUGUAAAGCUCUGUCAGCAGGGAAGAAAGCAAUGACGGUACCUGACCAAGAAGCCCCGGCUAACUACGUGCCAGCAGCCGCGGUACUACGUAGGGGGCAAGCGUUAUCCGGAAUUACUGGGUGUAAAGGGGGGGUAGACGGCUGUGCAAGUCUGGAGUGAAAGGCGGGGGCCCAACCCCCGAACUGCUCUGGAAACUGGAUGGCGGGAGUGCAGGAGAGGGGAGCGGAAUUCCUAGUGUAGCGGUGAAAUGCGUAGAUAUUAGGAGGAAUACCAGUGGCGAAGGCGGCUGAGUGGACUGGAACUGACGUUGAGGCUCGAAAGCGUGGGGAGCAAACAGGAUUAGAUACCCUAGUAGUC